AAUCCAGGGGAGCUGGUUCUCCGCCUCCCAAGCAAGGGAACUUCUGACGGGGGUGACUCUUUGGGUCUUACUUCAAGGGCCCACGAUGGGCCGGGCUGCCAUCCUACUCCUCAGGACCGAGACCGGGGCUUGGGGCCCAGAAUCAGCUGCUGGGGGAGGGGGGAGCCGGCCUGCCCUGCCUGCCUUCACAGGAGCCAGGUGCCCACGCCAGAUCUCUCUCUUUGGCAUGGCCUAUUCAGAGGGGACCUUGCCCCCUCCUUUCCUCUUAGCCCCAAGCCUGGCCCUCUGACUUUCCUGGACAGGAAUGGCCACAAACCUCUAUCCCAGGAGCUCCAUUCUCCCCUGGGCCAGCACCCCUUACUCCCCUUCCCUUAGAACUCUGCCACCUCCCGCCUUCAUUCUGCCCUGGCGCUCAGAUCUUCCUGCCUUUGAUCGGGAUCUCCUGGCCUUCCGAUCCUCCCUCUGCCUCAUUGCUCCCAAAUCUUCUCAGGAGGACCUUACUGCCCACCCUUGCCUGUUCUCCCAUUUAGUCUCCUCCCCUCUUACAAUAGAUUCCUGUCCUCUGGACCCCAAAGAUGGCCACCCUGACUGUGCUCUUUUCCAUCGAGGAAUUCCUUGAUGCCAUGUUUUCAGUUCUGACUUAUCGGAGCCCCCUCUAAAGGGGCUUUGUCUCUGCCCACGUGGGGCAUGUGUGUCCCAUGUAUAGGUGUCCAUGUAUAGGGUAUGUGUGUGUCCACAUGGGUCUUCACGGAUAUGGCUCAUCGAGAUGGCUGCUACAAGGCUGAAUACUCCACUGCACUGAGAGAAGAUGCUGGACUCGAAUUACAUCUACUUUCCUAAAUACUACGAGUCUCUCUCCUCAUUGCUAGCCCUUUAACAGGAAAGGGGGGCUCUAAGCUAUAUAUCCAAGGACUCAGCUCACUUCCCACCAAAUACCAAUCCUGCGAACACUGUCACAUAUAGAAAAUAAUAAAUAAACCCAUUUAACCAGGCUAAUAGCAAACAAGUCAGAAGAGAUACAUGGACUAAAUAUAUUAGACUGUAUAUAGAGGGCUGAAACUCUUAAGUCCAUGCACUGAGGUCAGGCACUUGAGGCUAACUAUCGGUUGGACAAUACUCAAUGGGCAUAUGCUUGGGAAAUGGCCCUUCCCACUAUCCUGUGCCGGCUCGAUGAUUGGUGUAUACAGAGGAUUGUAGGAGGGACUAGGAGGUGCAGUAAGACUAGCCAGAGUCACUUUGGCAGUAGAUGAGGAAGAAGGCAGUCUCGGAGAUUCUGCUUCCAUCCCCUUCACUUCUACCCCUAAAGACCAAGAAUAAAGACCGAGGACUUUUGCUUAUCCUGACUCUGGUUGAUUUUAAGGUAUCCAGGGUGCUAGUGCGGUCAUCACACCUGGCGCCCGAGCAUGGGACCCAAGGACCCUAACUUCACUGAACAAGUCUCUGGUGACCAGGAAAUAGGGUGGAGAAGGAAUCAGAUAGUUCCAACAAGCUGUAUUCACUUUGUCCAUCGGAGAGAGACAGAGCAGACCCUUGAAACGAAGGAGAAGACCCAAGAAACAUUGGUUGGUUCCAUCACUGACUGUUCUGCAAACAUUUUCAUGUAUAUAAAAUAACAAAUAAACCAAUUUGUCCACACCAAAAGCAAACAAAUCAGAAGAGAUAUAUGGAUUAGAACAUACUAGACAACAUGCAGGGUGAAUUUACUCACUGGGAGCAGGAUAUCUCAGCUCAACUCUUAAAAUCCAGAAGUCUCUAAUUUGGUAAACAAAGGACAGGGACAUGAUCAAGGCAUUAGUUCCUAUACAUUCCUAAUCUUUUCCACCAGGGAUCUCUUUCUGAUCUAUUAUCUCAUGUGUCCUCUCUCAAAGGUGGAAGUGAAAGAACUAGGACCUCUCCUCUUCCAAGCUCUUGUUAACUCCAUUGUUCACCCCUGCAUGGAAUAUUGAGUAAUUAAUACCUACCAAAAUUUUUUUGUAGUUCCAAGCGAUAAUCAUGUGGAGCAAGCUUGAACCUUGUAACUACAGUAUAAACACUGAAGCAGAAUCAAGGUUGGUUUUUCUAGCAUCCCAUAUAAUGGACCUAUGAUGCUAUUGAAACUAAAAAUGAAUGGGCACUAAUUAACAGUACAUGCAAAGGAACAUCAUUUGAGAGGGUACUCCAGUGACAAUAUGCCAAGCUACAUGAAAGUCACAAGCCAUUAUAUUUCAGAAAUACCAGUAUAGUAGACAGCAAUCGCUCUGGAUGCAACUUCACACUAGUAGAAGGUCAUUAUUAAAAAUACUGCCCAAUCAUAAGCAUAAAUGCAAAACAACAGAUAUUGCUAUAAUAUUAACAUAAUAAGAAAACAUAAUUCUAUGAAAACAGCAAAAUAAUAUUCAAACCUGCAAAAAUUCACAUGGGCAGCAAUAAACAUGCCACUGCGUACAAGACAUACUGGAUAUCCCACUCUUGGGUGAGCAAUGGAGUUAGCAAGAGCUUGGGAGAAGAGGGAGCUUAGCUCUUUUCACUUCCAUUUUUGAGAGAAGACACAUGAGAUGCCAAAUGAAGAAGAAAUCCCUGAAAAGAAAGAUUUCAGAAGUUCAUUUUCACAGUUGUUCAAUCAUUUCUGAUUCUUUGUGACCCUAUUUGUGUUUUCUUGGAAGAUGCUAGAUUGAUUUGCCAUUUCCUUCUAAUUCAUUUUACAGAUGAGGAAAUUGAGGCAAACGGGAUAAGUGUCUUAAUCAAGGUCACAUGGUUAGUAAGUGUCUGAGACUACCUUUAAACUCAGAUCUAUUUUACCACUUUGCUGCCCCCAUUUUUCAAUAAUAGGUAACUAUUUCUUUUGAAUUGUUUGUAAAAUCAUAACUUAAUUCUAGUAAUUGGUCUGAUGGGCCGGUUCUCUUGUUACUGAUUGAUUCCUAUACUUCUGGAUCCAAAGCAGUAUUUAGUAUGAAUUGACCAAUUGGAUCUUUAUAGACUUGUUUGUCUACACCUAGGCUGGUAGCAGUGAUGGGUUGACUAUCAGUGAUGUUUGGAAAGGAUCUAAGAUGAAUAAAAAGACUGGGAGAAAAACUGUGUGGAAGUUGGGAGCUAAGGGAGAGCCUGGGAGGCAACGAUGGGGUGAAUACACCGCAGCAAAAGUCCCUAGUAACAACCAAGUGUCUAGAUGGACUCUGGGAGGGAUAUUGACAGGAUUAUCUUGUCCCUAAAUGGAUCCUUGUUGAAUUUCUUGCUUUGACAGGAUUAUCUUAUAGAAAUAAAGCUAUCUUGAAUAAACUCCCACAAUUGUUGUAUACAAUCUGGAGGCCAAGCUUCAGAUCUCAACUCGAAGGCCAUUUUGUAUAAACAUUGCUUAUGACUUUCUAAAGCAAGUGACUCAUACUUUUCUUUGAGUCCUUUCCUAAAAAAGAUCCCCUUGUCUUUCCCCAUUGUAAAUUGUGAGUUCAUUAGGAACUUAGCCCACCUUAUGGCAUCAUAAUAAAGUUUUUGCCUCUUGACUCAAAGAUGACCUAAACCUGUGAAUUCUUUUCUGGCAACUCCCCACCUUCCUGACUUGGGCCUCAGAUUAGCUGGACAUCUUGAACAUAGUUGCAGAGUUGUGGUCUUCUCAAGAUACAUUGUGGUAAGACAUUGUUUUUUUCUGAAAAAUUUCACUUUUAUUAGUUGCCAUAAAAUUCAGUGGAUCAGACAAGACAAACAAGGAGAAACUAAGGAAAAGAGAAGCCCAUAAGGCAUUGGUUAAAAAAAUUAGGAAAAUAGAUGAAUGAAACACACAAUAGACUUAGAAACCACAGAACUCAGUUACCUUGCAUUCAAUAAACACUAAAAGAUAAACUGUUUAGGAAAGAA
Molecule: long non-coding RNA, 3828 nt
Organism: Antechinus flavipes (yellow-footed antechinus)
Lineage: Eukaryota; Metazoa; Chordata; Mammalia; Dasyuromorphia; Dasyuridae
Exons: 2
Source: RefSeq, a predicted model, not a curated record